RNA transcript from Pyrgilauda ruficollis (rufous-necked snowfinch), 4661 nucleotides. RefSeq lists it as uncharacterized. The record is from RefSeq and is a predicted model, not a curated record. Lineage: Eukaryota; Metazoa; Chordata; Aves; Passeriformes; Passeridae. The transcript is spliced from 4 exons.
GAUGGCGCGGCCCCGGCCCCGUUCCCUCAGGGCUCGGCCGCCAUGGCGGCUCUGGAGGUCGGUAGGGGGAAACAGCCGCGUGUUCGCUGAGGGAAUCAGUGCUUGGUCACCCGCACAGCCAAGUUCUUCCUCGUGUUCAGAUGCAGUCCAGCAAUUAAUAAGAACCCAGCACUCCUGUGUGUGGAUAACAGGAAUAUCUUCCACUGGAUUACACAAAAUAAAAAUGAAACCCCUGCUACUUCAACAGCAGCCUAGGAGGGGAAGAGCUGGGCAGACCCUGGGUUUCACUCUGUGAGGUGAGGAAAGCAAGUGUGAGCAGCCCUUGGUUGAAAUGCCACCUCCACCAGCUGGUGGGAAACUCCCGACCCACAGGAAUUUGUCUUUACCUCGGGGACUUGCUGUUGCCCUCAAUGUCAGAUGGAAAUUGAGGCAGAAAAAAACGUGUCUCUUUCUCAGAAAAAAAGUGUUUCUUGCUCAGAACCGAGAUGGGCUCUGCCAGCCCGGCUCAACCCCCUGGUUUUUCACCUGCUAAAUGGAGAAUUUUUACGAAGUUUAAUUAGUGCAAAGUGCUCUCGGUAGCAAAGAGCUUUCGGUCCGAGCAUCUCGGGCCAAGUUCUCAAAUUACAAAGCUGCAGGCAGCGACCCACGCGGCAGAGCCGCUGCUGUGCCUGCGGUGCCGGGGAGGAUCAGCAGGGCUGAAUUCGUGUCGUGAAUGAACCAGGAGGAGAGCAGGACAGGAGAUCUGCGGGGCUGCAGGACUCCUGGGUCCCUGCUGGUGCUCGCACGGUGGUUUCCCCUCUUUUGGCAGCUUUUGGAAAGAGGAGACAUUCCUUCAGCUUUGGGUUUGCAAAAUGUUUUGGAAGUGGAGAGGAGGUUGUGGGAGCCAGGAGAGUGCAAACAACCAGGAGAGUACAAACAACCAGGAGAGUACAAACAACCAGGAGAGUACAACAACCCAUCCCAGGUCCCUCUUCUUCUCCCACGGGAUAUUCAUGCCAAGCUGUCAGGCAGCCAGGGCAGGGAGAGUGCUCCGGAGUGCUCCCAGCGUUGCUAACUCAGCUGGACAGCCUGUGCUCUGCAGGGGAAGGCAAUUUUCUUGCUGCUGUCGAGUCUGCUACCUCGGGGCUGUACCAAAGCAAUGAGAUUUCACUUGCUGAGUCAGGGGCAGCGCCCGUGUUUGACAGGAGGAGGAGGAGAUGGGCUGAGUCACCUCUCCAAGUUCAUCCCCAGGCUGCUUCCCAAAAGCACAGCUCCUGGAAUGAGCCUGUAAAUCCUGGGAGGAGUGGGAGCAGGAGGGGGCCAGGAGAGCAGCCCGUGUUUGUCCUGCCUGCUGUGUUCUCCUGCAGGGCUCUCCUUGUCCAAACGCUGACUCUCUGCAGCCACAUCUGGCUCUGAGGCGUUGUGGCAGCAGCCUGGGGCUGGUGGCUCCUGAUGGUUUCGCUCUCCUGGGCACACUCACCCUGGAGUUCUGUUCCAUUAGAUCUUCUCCCCAUCAGAGCAACCCUGAGGCAUCUGCAGGGAUGGUCUCCAAGGGGGAGACAAGCUGGGAUUUGUCACCUUGUGUCUCAUUCACGUGGGGCUGUUCAGAGCUCUGGGAAUAAAGAGCAGCUGCUGUGGGCAGAUAACAGGACAGAGCAGCUCAUUCCCACUUAAACUACUUCCAAAAUGAGCUGGACAUGGUGCACUAAAUCAUUUUGAAGUCCAUUAGGGGAAUUUUAUAGCACAGAAUAAAAGAGGUCCUUCACUGUGCACAGCACAGGCAGCAGUGCCUGGUGGCUGCUUACUCAUCCCCCAGCAGAGGAGUGAGAGCAGACACAGCCUCUGCUUUCACCCCCUGGCAAGGCAUUCCUCAGGGAGGAAGGAUGGAGGGCUUGGGCCACUUUUACUCCGUGACUCACUCAAUCCCUCGUGUGAGCACAUGGUGACAUCAGGAGUGACACAGACACACCAGCCUCCUGCAGCCAGGGGCACAAGGCAAAAUAAACAGAGGUGCUGAGGCAUGAAUUAGACCACGAGCCCUCUGCAAAGCAGCUGCUGCAACUGAGCUGCCCAAAUCCCACUGGUCACACUCACAGAGGAAAAGCAGAACUCCCAGAGGCAGAGGGAGAACCGAGGCCACAGCAGAGCUCCAGGGGCAGGGCCGGCUCUGGGACUGACUGUGGGGGCUCCCUGCAGCUCCUCCUUGCCCUGGCAGCUGGAGCAAGGCUUGUCACGGGAGUGCACAGUGGCAAUUAUAGCAGCACGGAUGCCACAGGGCUGGCCAGGCUCUCUAUUUAUAGCUGCCAGCCAGCACAGCUCUCCCUCUGUGCUCCUGCUCACAGGUGAGGGCACAGGCCAUGCCCUGGAAGGCUCACAGGCCAAGCAAAAACAGAGGAAGGACUAGCAACCCCUUUGAUAAGAACCUAGAAUCACCGAUGAAAGGACAAAACAGAAAUCCACAGAGAGCCUGGAACAAUGAACUGUAACUUCUCCCCCCAAAACUGCCCUGUAGUUGGUUAACCCCUUCCCUGCCUGGAGUGCCACCUCUCUGCUCUUCCUAAUUGGUGCCAAGCAGUGUCACUGAAGUGUUCUGCGAGCUCUGGCCCCUCGGAUUGUUUCCAGCAGAGGUGGCAGAAGGGCUGUGGGCCUGCCUGGCCCUCUGCAGCCCUGGGCCUGUGGCCAGGGUGGGAGGCAGCAGCCCAGGGUGGCAGGCAGCAGCCAGGGUGGGAAACAGCAGCCCAGGGUGGGAGGCAGCAGCCCAGGAGAGCCCCCAGACACUGCCCCUGCCCCAGGGAUGAUCCAUCCCGAGGGAGCCUCUGCCAGCUCAGGGUGGCAGCUGACCACGGAUCCAAGUCACAGAGUUGUCUUUGUUUCAUGGGGAGGAUUAAACCACGACCUGCUUGUGAGCUGAACUUUGAAGUGUCUCCUCAGUGAUCUGAAACUCGAUCAUGCAACAAAGAGAGACCUCCACAAAUACUCUUUUUGUGUUUGAAGCUGGAGACCAUCCACUGGUUUAUUUUUAGGCACACAUUUGCACUGGCCCUGUUACAAUCCUGCCUCUGUUCUUGUGCAAUAAAAGCAGAGAGGAUUCUCUUGACCUCCAGUAUCAAAUACAGAGAAAAUAAGGCAUUUGUCUGGAAAAGAACCACCCAAAAUAGCAGGGAAGAGGUCAUGCUGUGCUAUGGACUGUUAGUGUUGAGAGACAAGAAAAAUGAGGAUUAUAGGUGCUGGCAGAGGACUUCUAAUGACACAUUAAUGAAAACUGCUAGAAAAUUGUAUGGUGAUGCUAAUUAGUAUUUGUAGGUUUAAGGACCUGAGAUCUUUCCCUUUUACACUAAACAUUUGCCUGAGAGUAAGAAAUAAUCCCUGCUGAGGUGAGUUCUCAGUUUUCUUUAAGGGUUUGUUCUAGAUCCUGAGCAUUUCCUUUGCUACCCACAGCUUUAACUCAGAAACAGGCUGCUGCAUGACCCAGCUGAUGUUCCCUAAACUCCUCACAGCCCCUCCUCAGCCUUUGCAACACCCUGAUGCUGAUAAUUAUCACUACAUGCAUUUUCUGUCUUGCCCUUCCUUGAAGAAGCUGGGGAAAGAGCCCAGAGGACCUGAGUGGAUGUUGAAUUUCUGUCACAUCAGCAGGGCCAGCUGCACCAGGCAUCUCCCACUGACAAGAGAAGGAAGGUUAAAACCUCUCAUGACAGGUUAACAGCAUGAUUUGCAGCAACAGCUUAAAUAAAUGGUUGCAGGCACGAAAGAGUAGCAGGCAGCUAAUCCUUUAAAGACUUAAGAGCAGCUACUACUUCAGCCCAAGUAAAUAUUUCAAAACAAAAUUAAUUAGUGGUGACUAGUGGAUUUGCUGCCCUUUGCUUUAACAGCCCAGGGUGAAACGGUGAUUCCUCCACAGAAUUUUUGCUUCAGUGCCAAACCUGCUGUUUCACAGGAGCUGAAAGUCCUCUCAAAGAAGAUUCCUCACAGUUCUGUUCCAAAGCUCUGCAGGAUCUCAUGGCUGUGUGUUGUGUGGGAGGGGAGGUCCCUUUGUGCUGCCUCAGAAUCCAGCCCAGUGCAGCGUGCAGGAAGGAAAUGUCACUUCCUGAUUCUUAUCAGAAGAAAGCUCUGUCCAGGCCACAGAACAGCUCCCAGUAAUUGCCUUUCUUCUGAUUAAAGCAGUUCCUGAACACCUUCCUAGGCACAGGAAAGCAGGGAAGGAAAGGCCUCAGGGUUACCAGCACAAACCACUCUGCUGAGCCCAGAGCAGCAAAGCAGGCAGUUCAAUCAACUGCAAACAAUCAUUUCUAAUCAACAAUUGAGUUUUCCCCCCCUCUGACCCUUGGCUCCACCACAGAACAAAGCCAGCUCCCUUGGGAGGCUCUGUCAUGGUCUUGCAGGACUGUCUGGACUAUUUUUAGUCAAAUCCAGCAUUCCUAAAAAUCCUCAGGCUGCUUUUGUGCUCAGGAAGGGGAGAGGAACUGCUGUGCAUGUGCACUUCCACAUUCCACACAGGACACAGGAGUAGGAGCAGGGAGGCACAGCUGGGUCAGCACAGAGCCCUGGGAAAAGGGCAAAAAUCCUUCUUUUCAUCGGGCUGAGAAGGCAGGAAGUGAAGGCAGGACUGUCCUGAACUGGGAGGGGGAAACCAGAGGUGUCUGCAGUGCUUGGGAGGCCAGGGAGAUCCAAGGGCUGCGUGGUGU